This 332-nucleotide ribosomal RNA is filed under the name uncultured bacterium. Its description in RNAcentral is "bacterial SSU rRNA". It matches the Rfam family "Bacterial small subunit ribosomal RNA", at positions 568 to 898 of the family's 1533-position model. The record is from RNAcentral.
CGUGUAGGCGGUUGGUCAAGUCUGGUGUGAAAGCCCGGGGCUUAGCUCCGGAAGUGCGCUGGAAACUAGCCAACUUGAGCGCGAUAGAGGAGGGUGGAAUUCCUGGUGUAGCGGUGAAAUGCGUAGAUAUCAGGAGGAACACCGGCGGCGAAGGCGGCCCUCUGGAUCGUUGCUGACGCUGAGACGCGAAAGCGUGGGGAGCAAACAGGAUUAGAUACCCUGGUAGUCCACGCUGUAAACUAUGGGUACUAGGUGUUCGGGGUGUUGACCCCCUGAGUGCCGACGCUAACGCAUUAAGUACCCCGCCUGGGGACUACGGCCGCAAGGCUAAA